RNAcentral lists this ribosomal RNA (402 nucleotides) under uncultured Elusimicrobium sp. RNAcentral describes it as "bacterial SSU rRNA". It matches the Rfam family "Bacterial small subunit ribosomal RNA", at positions 358 to 774 of the family's 1533-position model. The record is from RNAcentral. Lineage: Bacteria; Pseudomonadati; Elusimicrobiota; Elusimicrobia; Elusimicrobiales; Elusimicrobiaceae.
GGAAUUUUGGACAAUGGGCGCAAGCCUGAUCCAGCAACGAUGCGUGGAGGAUGAAGGUUCUCGGAUUGUAAACUCCUUUUAAGGGGGACGAAAAAAAUGACGGUACCCCUUGAAUAAGCCACGGCUAACUACGUGCCAGCAGCCGCGGUAAGACGUAGGUGGCGAGCGUUACUCGGAAUUACUAGGCGUAAAGCGCGCGUAGGCGGAAUGUUAAGUCUGUUGUGUAAUCUCUGGGCUCAACCCAGAAACUGCAACGGAAACUGGCGUUCUUGAGUGAGGCAGAGGAGAUCGGAAUUCCUAGUGUAGCAGUGAAAUGCGUAGAUAUUAGGAGGAACACCGGUGGCGAAGGCGGAUCUCUGGGCCUUUACUGACGCUCAAGUGCGAAAGCUAGGGGAGCAAACG